UACGUAGGGGGCUAGCGUUGUCCGGAUUUAUUGGGCGUAAAGAGCGUGUAGGCGGCCAGGUAGGUCUGCUGUGAAAACUCGAGGCUCAACCUCGAGACGUCGGCGGAAACCAUCUGGCUAGAGUCCGGAAGAGGAGAGUGGAAUUCCUGGUGUAGCGGUGAAAUGCGCAGAUAUCGGGAAGAACACCCGUGGCUAAGGCGGCUCUCUAGUACGGUACUGACGCUGAGACGCGAAAGCGUGGGGAGCGAACAGG
This 253-nucleotide ribosomal RNA is filed under the name uncultured bacterium. RNAcentral describes it as "partial 16S ribosomal RNA". It matches the Rfam family "Bacterial small subunit ribosomal RNA", at positions 524 to 776 of the family's 1533-position model. The record is from RNAcentral.